Molecule: ribosomal RNA, 253 nt
Filed under: uncultured bacterium
Lineage: Bacteria
Description: partial 16S ribosomal RNA
Rfam family: Bacterial small subunit ribosomal RNA
Source: RNAcentral
UACGUAGGGGGCAAGCGUUGUCCGGAAUCAUUGGGCGUAAAGAGCGUGUAGGCGGCCCGGUAAGUCCGCUGUGAAAGUCCAGGGCUCAACCCUGGGAUGCCGGUGGAUACUGUCGGGCUCGAGUCCGGAAGAGGAGUGUGGAAUUCCUGGUGUAGCGGUGAAAUGCGCAGAUAUCAUGAGGAAGACCAGUGGCGAAGGCGGGUCUCUGGACAGUUCCUGACACUGAGACACGAAGGCCAGGGGAGCAAACGGG